GUCAGGAUGGCCGAGUGGUCUAAGGCGCCAGACUUAAGGUUCAAAAUCUUCUCUAUAAAUGGGGCUUCUGGUCUCUGAAUAGAGGCAUAGGUUCAAAUCCCACUUCUGACA
Molecule: transfer RNA, 111 nt
Filed under: Scleropages formosus (Asian bonytongue)
Lineage: Eukaryota; Metazoa; Chordata; Actinopteri; Osteoglossiformes; Osteoglossidae
Rfam family: tRNA
About the family: Transfer RNA (tRNA) molecules are approximately 80 nucleotides in length.
Source: Rfam by way of RNAcentral